This 70-nucleotide transfer RNA is filed under the name Callanthias japonicus. Its description in RNAcentral is "tRNA-Asp". It matches the Rfam family "tRNA". Rfam says of the family: Transfer RNA (tRNA) molecules are approximately 80 nucleotides in length. Their secondary structure includes four short double-helical elements and three loops (D, anti-codon, and T loops). Further hydrogen bonds mediate the characteristic L-shaped molecular structure. tRNAs have two regions of fundamental functional importance: the anti-codon, which is responsible for specific mRNA codon recognition, and the 3' end, to which the tRNAs corresponding amino acid is attached (by aminoacyl-tRNA synthetases). tRNAs cope with the degeneracy of the genetic code in two manners: having more than one tRNA (with a specific anti-codon) for a particular amino acid; and 'wobble' base-pairing, i.e. permitting non-standard base-pairing at the 3rd anti-codon position. Lineage: Eukaryota; Metazoa; Chordata; Actinopteri; Callanthiidae. The record is from RNAcentral.
GAGAUACUAGUAAAAACUAUUACAUUACCUUGUCAAGGUAAAAUUGCGGGUUGGAGCCCCACGUGUCUCA